CAGUAGCCGCGGGAAUACAGAGGUCCCGAGCGUUGUUCGGAUUCACUGGGCGUAAAGGGUGUGUAGGAGGUUUGGUAAGUCAGGUGUGAAAUCCCGCAGCUCAACUGCGGAACUGCAUUCGAUACUGCCGAACUAGAGGCUUGGAGGGGGAAGCGGAAUUCUUGGUGUAGCGGUGAAAUGCGUAGAUAUCAAGAGGAACACCGGUGACGAAGGCGGCUUCCUGGACAAGUCCUGACUCUGAAACACGAAAGCCAGGGGAGCGAAUGGGAUUAGAUACCCCCGUAGUCCCUGUCUCUUAUAC
RNAcentral lists this ribosomal RNA (301 nucleotides) under uncultured bacterium. RNAcentral describes it as "partial 16S ribosomal RNA". It matches the Rfam family "Bacterial small subunit ribosomal RNA", at positions 509 to 807 of the family's 1533-position model. The record is from RNAcentral.